AAUCACUACGGGUAUGUACCCAUACAAAUAAAUCUUUAAAUGGUCAAUAAAUAUGCAAGAGAAGGUAGACAAAAAUAUCAAAAAUAAAAAAACCGAGUUUCAGCAACUCAUGUGAUUCUUCAGAAUAUCGACCAAGUUCUAUAGCUGCCUUCGGAUGUAAUGACAGACCAUUAAAAUGAAACCAAGUACCACGCAGUACAUAUUUUUGACUGCUAAUUACAAAAAUGUAUGUAUUUAUGUAAACGCUUUUGCCACAUUAACCACAAAUUCAAAUGAGUACUCGCACACACGCCGCCAUACCACAGAAACACUUUGUGGCAAUUCAUAUCCACACCAACAAAUGGGGAGAUUUUAAUCAGCGACAGGCUAAAUUCUGACGCACAUACACUUUCGGACAUAUGUACAUACAUACAUUUGUAUAUCCACGUCUACAUAUGUACACCCACAAAAUAAUUUUUAUCAGUUGCACCGGCGACGACGAUGAUGAGACACCACUCCACCAAACCACAUUGUCAAUGUGGCAACAUGACGAAUUUGCAAAAUUGCGGAACACCGCCAAAAGUGCGCAAUAGCGCGAGACAACAUUUGAGAGUUUCGCACCUGGCGGCCGUCAAGCCAUCAGCAUUCUGCAGCGCCCGCAGCAUGUACAUAAAUGGUGGGAAUUUCGGUGUGAAUGGAAGUAUGAAGUAUAGUACAGUAAACCAGAAGGGGAAGCAAAUUUUCGGCCACAAGCCAAAUAAACAAAUUAAAAAAGUGAAAUAAUAAAACGGACGUAACAGAGUAACUAAACAAAUUGUUAUUGCCAUUUGUGGUUGUUGACAUGUAAUUUAAAUUUUUUA
Molecule: long non-coding RNA, 839 nt
Organism: Anastrepha ludens (Mexican fruit fly)
Lineage: Eukaryota; Metazoa; Arthropoda; Insecta; Diptera; Tephritidae
Exons: 3
Source: RefSeq, a predicted model, not a curated record